GUGCUCACUUUAGCAGCACAUAUACUAAAAUUGAAAUGAUAAUGGAGAAGAUUAGCAUGGCCCCUCAGCAGGGAUCAUGCAUACACACACAUACACACACACACACACA
Small nuclear RNA from Artibeus jamaicensis (Jamaican fruit-eating bat), 109 nucleotides. The record is from RefSeq and is a predicted model, not a curated record. Lineage: Eukaryota; Metazoa; Chordata; Mammalia; Chiroptera; Phyllostomidae.